UCCCAGUUAGUACAAUGGUCUAGUAUAUGGCUUUUUCAUGAUCUUGCGUGAUCGUCAAGUGAGCAGCUAAGAUCGGGGUUCGAUUCCCCGGCCGGGAA
Molecule: non-coding RNA, 98 nt
Organism: Ustilago trichophora
Lineage: Eukaryota; Fungi; Basidiomycota; Ustilaginomycetes; Ustilaginales; Ustilaginaceae
Source: the annotation of a GenBank genome assembly